This 776-nucleotide ribosomal RNA is filed under the name uncultured Neocallimastigales. Its description in RNAcentral is "partial large subunit ribosomal RNA". It matches the Rfam family "Eukaryotic large subunit ribosomal RNA", at positions 24 to 647 of the family's 3401-position model. Lineage: Eukaryota; Fungi; Neocallimastigomycota; Neocallimastigomycetes; Neocallimastigales. The record is from RNAcentral.
GUAGUCUCGCACAGAUGCAUAUCAAUAAGCGGAGGAAAAGAAACUAACAAGGAUUCCCCUAGUAACGGCGAGUGAAGCGGGAAGAGCUCAAAUUUGAAAUCUUGAAGGGUUUCCCUUUACGAAUUGUAGUUUAAAGAAGUGUUUUCUGUUGAGGUUUUGGUAAAAGUUCUUUGGAAUUAGGACAUCAUAGAGGGUGAGAAUCCCGUAUUUGACCUUUACUUUCAACUUUGUGAUACACUUUCAAAGAGUCGGAUUGUUUGGGAAUGCAGUCCAAAAUGGGUGGUAAAUUUCAUCUAAAGCUAAAUAUUGGCGAGAGACCGAUAGCGAACAAGUACCGUGAGGGAAAGAUGAAAAGAACUUUGAAAAGAGAGUUAAACAGUACGUGAAAUUGUCAAAAGGGAAGCGUUUGACACCAGUGUUGUUUUUCUGAAAAUCAAUUAAAGAACUGUUUAUGCUAAGCUGUUUAGACUUUAUCAGCUAUCUGUUUAGUUUUGAGCUUUUCUUUAAUGCACUUUUCAGUUAACAAGUCAACAUCAAUUUCUUUUGCUGUAAAAAAGCUUGAGGAAGGUGGCUUGAGAUUCGUCUUAAGUGUUUAUAGCCUCUUGCCUAUGCAGUCGGAGAGAUUGAGGUCUGCAGCGUAGAUCCUUCGGGGCUAAAUAGCAUUUGUGCUAAGUUAUAGCAUUUUAUAGACAACUUGUUGACUAUGAUUUGUCUUGUAGCUUACUCGCUUAUGUUAUUUUACCUACGCUUAGGAUGUUGACGCAUGAGAUAUACGC